GAAAAAACUGCUCCAAGUUCAGUCCACUGAUACUAUUUCCUUUUACUACCUUCAGGACCACUCUAGGAAAGGACCAUAGUGCUAUCCACUUUCUGCACCAUAUAAUGCAGAACUAUCUGCAAUUAAUCACAGAUAUUUUUCUCAACAUGUCAUAAAGAUUGUUGCCUUAGAUCUGAGCUGAGAGGUAGGAGGCAAUGUAGUCCUAGAGAUGGUAGGUAUCUAGGCCACUUGUUCACACAGUUUACUUGUGCCUUCAAAGACCAAUUAGAGCUUAAAUUCAUAUAUAUCACUUCCCUUUAUGAUAGAGUGCUCCUAGGCAUGGCCAAACUUAUGAUUUUCUGGAUCAUAAUAUGUCUAGUAUAUUAUGGGCAUCUCAGGUUGCAGGGUAAUUUGAUAGGUUGUAGUCAAGCAUUCGGUUUCUAUUAGAGCCCAGAGUAAGAUGGAACAAUUCUCAACAGAGGGUAGUUGUAUAUAGAAGAUAGCAUAACUUUGCUCCCAAAUCCUCGAAGCCUGAACAGAUUCACUGAAAGGGGCUUAUCAAAGUUUUAAUCUAACAUCCCUAAACUAUUUUAGACAUUUCAGCACCAUAUCUACUGAGUCAUAUAGCCCAGGUGACUGAGAAACUUGCAUGGCAGUAUGAAUUCUCCACAUAGCCUUCUCAUAUUCUAAGCCCAACUCAGCCUUUAAUUUUUUAUUGUGACAAAAAUAUACAUAAAAUUUACAUUUUAACCAUUUUUAAUUGUAGUAGUCAGUGGCAUUAAGUAUAUUUACAAUGGACAGCUAUAAUCUCCAGAGCACUUCUCUUCUCAUUUCGUUUUCUUACGUAUUCUGUAGAUAUUUUCUUUAUGUUUACCAUGGGGAUUGCAUCUAUCACCCUAAACUUUUAACCAUCUAUUUUAAAUUGACACCAAUCUAACUACAAUCACAUACAAAAACUCUUCUUUUUUACAGCUCUCCCAGCCUACUUUAUGCCACCAAUGUCACAAAUUAGGUAUUGUGUGCCCAUUAAUACAGAUUUAGAAUUAUUUUUAUACAUGUCUUUAAAAUCCUAUACUACAUGAAAAGCAGAGUUGCAAACAAAAAUUAUACUGUUUUUUAUAUUUUUCCAUGUAUUUAUCUUUACCAAAAACCUUCAUAUAUUCAUAUAGUGUCAAGUUACUAUAUAAAAUCUUCAAUUUCAACUUAAAGAACUCUGUUUACUGUUUCUUACAAGACAAGCCUUGUGGUAAUUAAUUGUUCAAGCUUAUAUUUAUCUGGGACUUUUUGUGUGUGUGUGGUGCUGGGGAUUGAACCCAGGGCCUUGUACAUGUGAAGCAAGCACUCUACCAACUGAGCUAUAUCCCAUCCUCUGGGAAUGUUUUAAUAUCCUCAUUUUUGAAGGACAUUGACAGAUAUAGAAUUCUUGGUUGAUAGCUUUUGUUUUUGUUCUUCUGUCAGUACAUUAUGUACAAAAUCCUACUGCCUUCUGGUUUCAAACUUUCUUUUCAGAAAUUGACUGAUGAUCUCAUUGACAACCUCAUAUAUAUGAUGAAUUGCUUUUCUCUUGUUGCUUUCAAAAUCCUUUGUCUUUUUCUAUCAACAAUUUGAUUAUAAUACCAUGGUGUAGGUCUCUUUGGAUUUAUCAUGCGUGGGAUUGGUUGAUAUUGAAUUUGUAGAGUUGUGAUUUCUGCAAACUUAGGGAGUUCCCUGCUAUUAUAUGAGUUGUUGAUAGACCUUUAUUUUAUUUAUUUAUUUGCGGUACUGAGAAUUGAACCCAGUGCCUCGCACAUGCCAGGCAAGUGUACUACUGCUGAACCUCAGCCCCCGUACCUGUGUUUUUCUCUUGCACCAUAACUCCUAUAAUGCAUCUAUUGGUCUGCUUGUUGGUGCCAUAUAAGUCCUUUAGGUUCUUUUCACUUUAUUCUUUUUUCUUCUUGUUCCUCGGCCUUGAUAAUUUCAAAUGCCCUAUAUUUGAGUUCCUUGAUUUUUUUCUUCUGCCUAUUCAAAUCUGUUGAGAGCCUGUGAAUUUUUCAAUUUGGUUGUUGUAUUUUUCAGUUCUAGAAUUUUCAUUUUGUUUAUAUGUUCUCUGGAUUUCCUUUAGUUUUUGUCCAUGUUUCCCUUUAGUUCUUUAAGCGUAUUUAAGAUUGUUGUUUUGAAGUCUUUUUCUAGCAAGUCUGAUGUCUAUGAUUCUUCAGUUAUAUUUUCUUCCCCUUUAUUUUCUUUCUUUGAAAAGACCUUGUUUUCCAUUUUUUUUUUUAAUGGGUUCCCCCCUCCCAAUACCUCAUAGGGUUUUCUGCUGAAAAUUGGGAAUUUGAGGAAACAAUCACUUCACCUAGUCUUUGCAAACUCGCCAGGGGUGUUUUUCACUAAUUAACAGAGUCUUUGUUCUAAAUUUUAGAAUCAGCCCAAGGAGAAAGGUCUUAUGAGGGCUUUCCUAGACAUGCAUCUUGCCUCAGCAUGUUUGUAACUCUUUUUUUAUUUCCUGAGGAUAUGACUGCUUUUUAAGUGUCAUUAUUUCCAAGUAAGUUUCUCUUGAGGCCUUUGAUGAUCUGUUGUGUGUCCUUGCCCAAAAUCUCUUACUCCAGCUAGCUAAGGACCAGUCUACCUCCCCAAGCAGCACCUAUUACUUCUACCUGCUUGAGAUCCAAUCUGGGAAAAAAGUCCUUCAGGCAUCCCUUAGUGUUUUAGAACAUUGAAAAUAAAGUCUGCUUUACUCUCUCUGAUGCAG
This 2707-nucleotide long non-coding RNA is filed under the name Marmota monax (woodchuck). Lineage: Eukaryota; Metazoa; Chordata; Mammalia; Rodentia; Sciuridae. The record is from RNAcentral.